UUAAGAAAUUGWSGGAAGGGCACCACCAGGAGUGGAGCCUGYAGCUUAAUUUGACUCAACACGGGGAAACUUWCCAGGUCCAGACAUAGUAAGGAYWGACAGAUUGAUAGCUCUUUCUUGAUUCUAUGGGUGGUGGUGCAUGGCCGUUCUUAGUUGGUGGAGUGAUUUGUMUGGUUAAUUCMGAUAACGAMCGAGACCUUAACCUGCUAACUAGUUCUCAAUACUCUGUAUUSUGCAACUUCUUAGAGGGAMUAUGUAAAUCAAUUACAUGGAAGUUUGAGGCAAUARCAGGUCAGUGAUGCCCUUAUAUGUCCUGGGCUGCACGCGUGCUACACUGAUGCAUACAACAAGUGCCUAGCCAGACAUGGUAUGGCAAUCUSGAAUAUGCAUCGUGAUGGGGAUAGAUCUUUGCAAUUAUAGAUCUUGAACGAGGAAUUCCUAGUAAGUGCAAGUCAUCAUCUUGCAUUGAUUAUGUCCCUGCCCUUUGUACACACCGCCCGUCGCUCCUACCGAUACCGGGUGAUCCGGU
This 529-nucleotide ribosomal RNA is filed under the name uncultured rumen protozoa. RNAcentral's name for it is "partial 18S ribosomal RNA". It matches the Rfam family "Eukaryotic small subunit ribosomal RNA", at positions 1156 to 1722 of the family's 1831-position model. The record is from RNAcentral.